Molecule: ribosomal RNA, 453 nt
Filed under: Hypocreales sp. E7811c
Lineage: Eukaryota; Fungi; Ascomycota; Sordariomycetes; Hypocreales
Description: eukaryotic LSU rRNA
Rfam family: 5.8S ribosomal RNA (bases 144-297)
Source: RNAcentral
CCUUUGUGAACAUACCAUUGUUGCUUCGGCGGGAUCGUCCCGGGCGCGCCUCUUGGGGCGUGUUCCGGAUCCAGGCGCCCGCCGAGGGUAUCAAACUCUUGUUUUUAUAGUGGACUUCUGAGUAUCAUGAGAAAAUAAAUUAAAACUUUCAGCAACGGAUCUCUUGGCUCUGGCAUCGAUGAAGAACGCAGCGAAAUGCGAUAAGUAAUGUGAAUUGCAGAAUUCAGUGAAUCAUCGAAUCUUUGAACGCACAUUGCGCCCGCCAGUAUUCUGGCGGGCAUGCCUGUCCGAGCGUCAUUUCAACCCUCAGAACCCGUUCGCGGGAUCUGGUGUUGGGGAUCGGCCGUCCCUCGCGGCGGCCGGCCCCGAAAUGCAGUGGCGGCUCUACCGCGAACUCCUCUGUGUAGUAGUGAUACCUCGCAGCUUGGAUAGUGGUAUGGCCUCGCCGUAAAA